Entelurus aequoreus (snake pipefish) is the source of this 868-nucleotide long non-coding RNA. RefSeq lists it as uncharacterized. The transcript has 2 exons. The record is from RefSeq and is a predicted model, not a curated record. NCBI's taxonomy places the organism in Eukaryota, Metazoa, Chordata, Actinopteri, Syngnathiformes, Syngnathidae.
UGUUUAAUGUACUGUAAGAUUUGUUGUUAGAAUAAAGUCAAUAAUGCCUUUUUUUGCGUUCCCCCUUUAUUUAGAAAAGUAUCGAAAAGUAUCAAAAUACAGGCUAGGCGCAGGCACGCUAAUAGCUAAUGCUAGGUUCACACCAACGGCGCUUUGAUGGCGCUUUAAAGCGGCAUGCAAAGCGGCGUUAAUGCGUAACAAAGCCUGAUUAAAGCGUGAGGGUCCUAAUGGAUCGAGGGAAAGCUUGUAGUGAAGCGGGACAUGCGGCAAGUUUGCCAAAAUUUUUUAAACGGUUUAAAAAAAUUAUGCGCUCUGUCAAGAAUGGUAUAAAGCGCCGAGAGCUUAUCAAAGCAUGAAAAAGCAUGACAAAGCUCAGCAAAACUUGACUAAAAGCGUAGGAAACCUCAGUGACUUUAUCGACACCCCGCCAUCACCACUGCAGGGAUAAACACCGUGCCAUCAUCUCCUGUGAAGCGUGAUUACAAGUUCAUUCUCAUUUGCAUCAUUGCCUUUUUUUAUACUUUUUUAUAUUGCUGUUUGAUGUUGCAGUUUGACAAUACUGUCUGUAAUUUUUCUUUCUGAAAAUGUUAAUAAUAAAGAGAAUAUGUUACGUUUAAAAGAAAUGCCUUUGAAUUUUUUCAACUAGCAUAAUAGAUAAAAGAUAGAUAUUUAUUAAGAUGACAAAAAUAAUAGAAAUGAAGAUAUAAAACAUAAUAUAAUGAAAAAAAAGAGAAAUUGAAAAAAGAAAUGAAUAUAAAAAAUGUGUGGAUACAUGCCUUUGAUUAUUUUCAACUAGCAUAAUAAAUAAAAGAUAGAUAUUUAUUAAGAUGACAAAAAUAAUAGAAAUGAAGAUAUAAAACAUAUAAUA